RNAcentral lists this transfer RNA (54 nucleotides) under Atypus karschi. Its description in RNAcentral is "tRNA-Ser". The record is from RNAcentral. Lineage: Eukaryota; Metazoa; Arthropoda; Arachnida; Araneae; Atypidae.
AAGAUCUAGUAUUUUGUUUUGAAAACAAAUAGAAAGGAAAUCCUUUAGUUUCUU